Molecule: long non-coding RNA, 2281 nt
Organism: Portunus trituberculatus (swimming crab)
Lineage: Eukaryota; Metazoa; Arthropoda; Malacostraca; Decapoda; Portunidae
Exons: 2
Source: RefSeq, a predicted model, not a curated record
AGCAAGACUGCAGGGUCCACGUAAACACAAACACGGCCACGUCUGUCAGUGUGUGUGUCGCCGAGUGUCACCUCAUUCACACAAAUCCACUGAUAAUUUGCCCCCUCCAGCAUUCCUUUCCUUAUCUCCCCUUGUCCUGCUUUCUAUUCCUCCUGUGGCUCACCUGUGUUCACGUUUAAGCCUCUUUGAAAAGGAGCCAAGAUGCGUCAGCUGAAGGGAAAGGUGAAAGAGACUGCCAAGGAGAGAAAAGAGAGGAAGAAAGACUUUUUGGCCAACAAGGAGAAGGCAUUCACUGUUGCUCUGCCUGUCCUGGGGGGAAUCUUUAUCCUGAUUGCCCUCCUGGUGUACUUCAAGACUAGACCAAAGGACCUGGAUCUGGAUUUGUAAAUACACUCCUGCUGCAUCUGAUACCGAUUUAUGUGUCACGGUCUUCUGAUAUCAAAGUUAAUGAUUCUUUGCUUUGAUUUCUAUUUGACACAAUGAUAUAAAUGCUAUCUUGUGAAAGAGUCAGUCUGUAUCACAUUUAUAUAAAUUGUUUACUCUGAUUCAACUUUGAUAAGGAAUAGAAAUGCCUUCAAUACCUAUUUGGUGCCUUUGCUCAAAUUCCUGACAAAAUAUCAUGUAAGGAAGGUAUCUUUUCUAAAUUUUGUUAUGGUGACAAGCUAUUUAUUAAGGCAAGAGUCUCAUCUAAUGUUAUUACUAUCCAGAAUGUUUGCUUGAUUAAAAGGUGCAUAUUGUAAAGCAUGUGAGGAAGAAAGUAUACUGUAUGGUGCUGGAGUUGCUAGCUGAGUACUGUGCCUUAGUUGAUCAUGAUUAUAUUGAUUACAUAAACUAUUCUAUUGGAUGUGAAUGAAAUGACUGUUGUGCAGCCUUUCUGUUAUCAUUCUUUUUAUCUGUCAGCCUCUUGGCACAAAUUCACUUGAAUGAAGUAAAAACAUGACUGUCAUCUUUUUCCAUUGAUGUAAAAUAUUUAAUGAAAGCAACUACUUACUACUUCCCAGUUUGUAUGGAAAAAGAAAGUAGCAUAUUUCAUGUAUAUUAGAAAUAGAGCAUGUUUUCUGUAUCUUACAUAAGGUAAAUAAUUAUUGUAGGACAGGAACUUCACUACUGGCAGAACUAGAGCACAGGUGUUUGGAUGUUUGAAGUAAUAGAAAAGCUGCUAAAAUGUCCUGCUUCAUUUAUGGGAAGUGUUGUUGUGAUUAAGAUCCCCAUAGAUGAAGGGGAUUUCUGAUUGUUUUCAUGUUUUGGAGGUUUAUUUGCUUGUAGACAUAAUUAUGAACACUAAUCCUGAAGAUGUUACCUGGAUUGACUGUAGAAACGUAUCGGCAAAAUCUGCAUGAACUACCUUGGUCCCGUCCAGCAAGUUUACCUACUUUUAUUGUUGCUGUUCUAAAUUAUAUUAAUAUAUACUUACAUACCAGGACUGCAAUCCUACAUCAGGGUGGCCACUUGUGUAUUAAAACAAUGUUACUAGAGUCAUACAAAUAUAUAUCCAGAUUAUUUCAAGUGACAGAGUAUCUAGAACAUGGCCAAGCUAGAUGUGACAAUGUGCUUCUUUAGGUGCUUCUCUUAACACUGUAAUGUUUAUGCUUAAGUUGUUACCAGUAUUAUUGUUAUUGUUACCCUGGAGGUAUUGUGGGUGUGAAGUGUUAGCAUUAGCACUAUAGGAACACCAGAUUAUCUUUGCCCCCACAAUGUGUGUGUGUGUAUGUGUGUGUGUGAGUGUAGCAAGACAGUGUUAUCAGAUAGAGUGGAGGUCUGUUUGAGUGAUGCCUUCUACUGCCAACCAGCCAUCAUUCCUUCACGCUUGGAGAAAUAUAUAUUAGUGGCAAAGUUGAUUUGGUUUUUUGUCAGUUGGGUGAUGGUAUAAGCUUAGUUACAUGAGGCUUGUGUGUCACAGUGUCAAUGGGUGCUGUUCUCAAUACUUGGGUUGUGAAAAGUUGCAAAAAUUUCAGCUUUCACCAACUGUCUAUGCACUGAUAUCCAUUGGUUGAUUUUUUAGUCAGUAUUUAAUUUAACUGCUUGAACUUAGUUCUUUUAAAUGAUUUCAGAAGUUGCAACAUUAUGAAUCAGCUGAUUUUGUCUCGGUACAUACUGUUAAUAUUCAUGUAGUUAUUUCGGGUAAAAUUGAAAAGGAAAUUAAAUAUUUCAAAAUACACACAAAGACUAAUAAUGCAUGGAAAAUAUUUUUGUAUGGUUUAGACGGUGAAUAGCAAAGCUGUAUAUUCAGGGAACCUCAAUAAUCUUGUCAUUUUCUAUAAAUAUAUUUUCUCAAAGUAUU